This 742-nucleotide ribosomal RNA is filed under the name uncultured organism. Its description in RNAcentral is "bacterial SSU rRNA". It matches the Rfam family "Bacterial small subunit ribosomal RNA", at positions 84 to 841 of the family's 1533-position model. The record is from RNAcentral.
UAAGGUGGAGAGUGGCGCACGGGUGAGUAACACAUGGCUGACCUGCCCCUCAGAGGGGGACGAGCGGUGGAAACGCCGGCUAAUACCCCAUGCUUGCGUCCGGGUUAGAGGCCGGAUGCAGAAAGGCCGAGGCGCUGAGGGAGGGGGCUGUGGUCCAUCAGCUAGUUGGUAGGGUAACGGCCUACCAAGGCGAGGACGGAUAGGGGGCCUGAGAGGGUGACCCCCCACACGGGCACUGAGACACGGGCCCGACGCGGACGGGAGGCAGCAGUAAGGGAUAUUGCGACAAUGGGCGAAAGCCUGACGCAGCAACGCCGCGUGGAGGAUGAAGGCCUUCGGGUUGUAAACUCCUUUUCUGUGGGAAGAGGAAGGACGGUACCACAGGAAGAAGUCUCGGCUAACUACGUGCCAGCAGCCGCGGUAAAACGUAGGAGGCGAGCGUUAUCCGGAUUUACUGGGUGUAAAGCGCGUGCAGGCGGUCUGGUAAGUCGAGCGUGAAAGCUCCCGGCUCAACCGGGAGAGGACGUGCGAAACUGCGAGGCUAGAGACAGGUAGAGGCGUACGGAAUUCCGGGUGUAGUGGUGAAAUGCGUAGAUAUCCGGAGGAACACCAGUGGCGAAGGCGGUACGCUGGGCCUGGUCUGACGCUAAGACGCGAAAGCAUGGGGAGCGAACGGGAUUAGAAACCCCGGUAGUCCAUGCCGUAAACGAUGCUAACUAGGUGUUGCGGGUAAAAGACCGGC